RNAcentral lists this microRNA precursor (123 nucleotides) under Gossypium arboreum. RNAcentral's name for it is "MIR7502 microRNA precursor family". It matches the Rfam family "MIR7502 microRNA precursor family". Lineage: Eukaryota; Viridiplantae; Streptophyta; Magnoliopsida; Malvales; Malvaceae. The record is from Rfam by way of RNAcentral.
UGUUAAAAAUUUUAUUUAUUUUUACUGUUAAAAACUGUUAUGAUUGAUGGAAUAACGAGACAAAUACGCGUAACCUGCCAUAAAAAUAUAUUUUAAUUAUAAAAAUGAAUGAAAUUUUUAACA